Molecule: ribosomal RNA, 1342 nt
Filed under: uncultured bacterium
Lineage: Bacteria
Description: bacterial SSU rRNA
Rfam family: Bacterial small subunit ribosomal RNA
Source: RNAcentral
GACGAACGCUGGCGGCGUGCUUAACACAUGCAAGUCGAACGGUAAGGCUCCAGCUUGCUGGGGUACACGAGUGGCGAACGGGUGAGUAACACGUGGGUGACCUGCCCUGCACUUCGGGAUAAGCCUGGGAAACUGGGUCUAAUACCGGAUAGGACCGCACCGUGAGGGUGUGGUGGAAAGUUUUUUCAGUGUGGGAUGGGCCCGCGGCCUAUCAGCUUGUUGGUGGGGUAAUGGCCUACCAAGGCGGCGACGGGUAGCCGGCCUGAGAGGGUGGACGGCCACAUUGGGACUGAGACACGGCCCAGACUCCUACGGGAGGCAGCAGUGGGGAAUAUUGCACAAUGGGCGGAAGCCUGAUGCAGCGACCCCGCGUGGGGGAUGACGGCCUUCGGGUUGUAAACUCCUUUCACCAUCGACGAAGGGUUUCUGACGGUAGAUGGAGAACACGCACCGGUUAUCUUCGUGCCAGCAUUCGCGGUAAUACUUAAGGUGCGAGCGUUGUCCCGAUAUACUGGGCGUAAAGAGCUCGUAAGUGGUUUGUCGCGUCGUCUGUGAAAUUCCGGGGCUUAACUCCGGGCGUGCAGGCGAUACGGGCAUAACUUGAGUACUGUAGGGGAGACUGGAAUUCCUGGUGUAGCGGUGAAAUGCGCAGAUAUCAGGAGGAACACCGGUGGCGAAGGCGGGUCUCUGGGCAGUAACUGACGCUGAGGAGCGAAAGCAUGGGGAGCGAACAGGAUUAGAUACCCUGGUAGUCCAUGCCGUAAACGGUGGGCGCUAGGUGUGGGUUUCCUUCCACGGGAUCCGUGCCGUAGCUAACGCAUUAAGCGCCCCGCCUGGGGAGUACGGCCGCAAGGCUAAAACUCAAAGGAAUUGACGGGGGCCCGCACAAGCGGCGGAGCAUGUGGAUUAAUUCGAUGCAACGCGAAGAACCUUACCUGGGCUUGACAUAUACAGGAUCGCGCCGGAGAUGGUGUUUCCCUUGUGGCUUGUAUACAGGUGGUGCAUGGUUGUCGUCAGCUCGUGUCGUGAGAUGUUGGGUUAAGUCCCGCAACGAGCGCAACCCUUGUCUUAUGUUGCCAGCACGUUGUGGUGGGGACUCGUAAGAAACUGCCGGGGUUAACUCGGAGGAAGGUGGGGAUGACGUCAAAUCAUCAUGCCCCUUAUGUCCAGGGCUUCACACAUGCUACAAUGGUCGGUACAGUGGGUUGCCAGUCCGUGAGGGCGAGCUAAUCCCGCAAAGCCGGUCUCAGUUCGGAUCGGGGUCUGCAACUCGACCCCGUGAAGUCGGAGUCGCUAGUAAUCGCAGAUCAGCAACCCCUGCGGUGAAUACGUUCCCGGGCCU